Molecule: ribosomal RNA, 250 nt
Filed under: uncultured prokaryote
Description: partial 16S ribosomal RNA
Rfam family: Bacterial small subunit ribosomal RNA
Source: RNAcentral
UACGUAUGGUGCAAGCGUUAUCCGGAUUUACUGGGUGUAAAGGGAGUGUAGGUGGCCUGGCAAGCCAGAGGUGAAAACCCGGGGCUCAACCCCGCGGAUUGCCUUUGGAACUGUUGGGCUGGAGUGCAGGAGGGGUAAGCGGAAUUCCCAGUGUAGCGGUGAAAUGCGUAGAUAUUGGGAGGAACACCGGUGGCGAAGGCGGCUUACUGGACUGUAACUGACACUGAGGCUCGAAAGCGUGGGGAGCAAA